UUGGUUUUUACAGGUUAUAAUCAUUCUGCGCCGAGAGAAAGCGCCGUUUUUCUCACGGGGAACGCGGUGAAAAGCCGCGGCAGCUCACUCUACCGUAAGCGAUACGAAAUCCGAAUGCCACUCUUUUUGUGAGGAUCAGACCCAUAACUUCUCACCAAAGGGGAAGGCGGAAAGUAGGUUGAUGCGCAAGCCGGGAUAUCCGUUUGAGGCGUAAAAAAAUA
RNAcentral lists this non-coding RNA (221 nucleotides) under Clostridium sp. Lineage: Bacteria; Bacillati; Bacillota; Clostridia; Eubacteriales; Clostridiaceae. The record is from RNAcentral.